CUGGAAUUUUUUUUUUUUUUUUUUUGAGAGGGAGUCUUGUUAUGUAGUUCAGGCUAGCUUUGAACUCAUGAUAUAACCCAUGCUGGCCUCAGACUUGCGGAGAUCCUCCUGCCUCACCCUUCCAAGUGCUGGGAUUACAGUCGAGCGCCACCAUGCCCAGCUAAUCUGCUGGAAUUUGUUUUUUUUUUUCAGCAUUAAUCUGCUGGAAUUUGGAGGAAGGAUUUUGCUCCCUGUUUGAAAAGAACCAUUGCCACUUGCCCUACUCCUAUCUACUCUGAAGUGAUGUGAGCUGUGGAAUAGGACAUCAAGGCCAAGGAUGACAACUGACACUGCAAGAGCAACGGAUAACGGAAACAGGAGCACCCCUUGGACUUCAAUGGCAGGAAGGGAGAGACUGACUCAGCUCUUUGUUCGGGACUGUGCUGGCAUUGUGGCUGUUUCCAGGUACCGGUGUGGUGUCACUGAGCGAGGAGGAGGGAGGCUGUGGGGAGCAGCACUUCCCCACACAGGUGUCACUCACGGGAAUAGCCUCACGAGUGCAGUAAGUAGGAUGUGGAGAGGUAGGAUACUUCUUACCUGUUUCAAAUCGAAUUUAUUCCAUUGUAAUUUGAUGCAAUGUAAUCUUUAAUAACUACAUUUAACAAGCAUCUUGCAAAUUUCCUGAAAACUACCGAGGGGACUCACAAACUGGUUCGAGCCAGCUCCGGCACAGCACUGCCAGAGUCUAGCAGCAUCACGCUUCUCUUUUAAUAGGCCUGAGAUAGUGGCCAGGAUGCUCAGACAAGAACGCGAUUAUCCACGCAGGAGCUUUGUGCGCAGCUGGUAAUCCGGAUGUCGGUACUUUUUCCUCUGUUUGACAAUUUCUUAGCUUUAUCGCUCAGACCGAACAAAAAGCCAAGCAAAAAAUAGUUGAGGGUGGAGAACAACGAGGGCUGCAAGUAUGGGCUGCGAAUCCUGACCGCUGCCCAUGGUCAGGGUGGGGCCCUGGGGCCGCUCCAGCCCGAAACUGUACUGGGCCCUCGGGUGUAAACAAGCCCUCGAGUGGGGGCUGUCUCCUCGGCCACACCCACAACGGAAGCCCCGGAGAAAAGGCUGUGGUCAGAGGACUGCUGCGUUCCAGCAGGGCCAGCCGCGGGGGACUGGAGAGCCCAGGAGGAAGGGAACGGUAAAUGCAGCCUACCGAGGGCACGAAGUCCUGCGCCGCAGCUGUCUUCACCUUUUGUGAUGGUGCGGCAGGGACCUUCGGGGACGCCGGAAAGGGCCAGCACAGCUGUGCAAGCAGGGGGCCACUGGCGAGCCAGCUGUGUUGUAUUACAGUCUGCGCUACUCCUGUCACUGCCCGGGGAGUGUCCCACAUAGGGACGAGCUCAGACAGGCGGUCCUGCUGAUUUGCAUCAGGGAUCCUCUGAAACUGCAGCUUGGGAUUAGGUCAUUGUUCCCAACAAAGAGGAGACCCCAGAAGGUUUGGUCGUGGUGAAGAAAUCAGGACAAACUGUGGCCUGGCAGGGAAGAGAUGAGGGAAGGAGACAGCCCCCUUGUCAAGCCCCUCCGGAGAAGGCCGAGCCGGCGAGGCCGUGGGAGUGGCUCCCCACAGCGCCUGCCCGCCGAGGAAGGCUCGCCGCAGAGCGCCAGCCCCUUCCGCAGAGUCCAUCCUCCGGGAACUGGCGCUGCAAAAUGGAACUUUUAAAAUGAGGGUCUUUUCUCUUUGGAGUCAAGCAGCUUCUAAACUUUCUCAAGCCGGGGGCAUAAAUGCCCCCCCCCCCGCACCCCCUUGUCUAUCAAGAGGAAGGGACGGGACUUGCAGGUCCCGGCACCGGGAGGUCAAGCCCAGUUGCAUUCCUUUAAGCAGUGGAGGGAGAGGUCCGGAUCCCGGAAGGGGUGGAAUUAGCCUCGAAAUGUCUGCUGUUCCAAAAGACCACCAGGCACCUGUACACGCUGAGAUACCGACUGGAGGCAGAUGGGCCCUGCCAUCUCCUUGGAGCUAGCUUUGAAUAUGUAAAUCCUUUUUUCCUUUCUACCCAAAUGGAUGGCCUUUUUUUGAUUUGGUUGGUGGCAAGCACAGAAAUCCAGGCGUGUGAACCUUGGCGGCUGGUAACACUCUCUCGCUGGCCUGGGUCUGCCUGGGCCUUACCCGGAGGCAAACUCUAACACUGUGACAGGGGGUAGCUCCAAACCUGCAGAGACGGGAAGCAGCUUCCCUGGCUGUAGAUGCAGGUGUCUGCGGUGCUGCUGAAGGUGAUCUAACCCUACUGGCCAAGAGGGAGACAACCCAGGCUCCAGGCAGUCUGAGGUCCAGCCCGCCUCAGCUGUGUGGAGCACAGCUAGUUAACCUGCAGUCCCUUGCUAGGGUCGUCUAGUUGACAUAGCUGUAGGAGUGCAAGGAAAUAGGCAGGGAGCAGGGAUGGGGGAGUGACCUGGGAGAGUAGCUUUCAGUAGCUGGCUAAUAAACUGGAUCCAAUUUGUGAAUUAAACCAAC
This is a long non-coding RNA of Chinchilla lanigera (long-tailed chinchilla), 2476 nucleotides long. The record is from Ensembl. Lineage: Eukaryota; Metazoa; Chordata; Mammalia; Rodentia; Chinchillidae.